AGAAGUUGCCAGGUCUAAGAAGCCUGAUUAAAAUCUCUAGAUAGUAAGAGAGAACCUCAUAAGGGUUCAUUUUCCAUCUCGAACCUAUUCGCAAGUUUAUAGACUAGCUAUCUAUAAAUUUAGUGAUGGAAUACCAACGAAGUUGGUGUUCCCGCUUUGCGAACGUUGAUAACGUCCUCAGCAUGGAAAACUGAGAAAUAAUCUCCU
Molecule: non-coding RNA, 207 nt
Filed under: unclassified sequences
Description: RAGATH-14 RNA
Rfam family: RAGATH-14 RNA
About the family: RNA motif Associated with Genes Associated with Twister and Hammerhead ribozymes (RAGATH).
Source: Rfam by way of RNAcentral